CCCCUAGAUGUUCUGGGCCGCACGCGCGCUACACUGAACAGUUCAACAAGUCUUAACCUUGGCCGAUAGGUCUGGGUAAUCUUUGAACGCUGUUCGUGAUUGGGAUAGACCUUUGCAAUUAUGGGUCUUCAACGAGGAAUUCCUAGUAAACGCAAGUCAUCAGCUUGCAUUGAUUACGUCCCUGCCCUUUGUACACACCGCCCGUCGCCCCUACCGAUUGAAUGACCCGGUGAAAUCUUCGGAUCGUCGUAUUGCCCGAUUCAUUUCGGGCGAUGUGACGCAAAGUUGAUUAAACCUUGCCAUUUAGAGGAAGGUGAAGUCGUAACA
RNAcentral lists this ribosomal RNA (327 nucleotides) under uncultured eukaryote. Its description in RNAcentral is "partial 18S ribosomal RNA". It matches the Rfam family "Eukaryotic small subunit ribosomal RNA", at positions 1470 to 1796 of the family's 1831-position model. The record is from RNAcentral.